RNAcentral lists this long non-coding RNA (523 nucleotides) under Cottoperca gobio. RNAcentral describes it as "lncRNA (ENSCGOG00000021329.1)". The record is from RNAcentral. Lineage: Eukaryota; Metazoa; Chordata; Actinopteri; Perciformes; Bovichtidae.
CUCGCAGCUGUAAUUGGAUUGCUUCUAUUUGUUUUAUCUCCAGCUGUCUGCAUAUACAGAAAACUCACAGCCAGGACUCAAAACCAGAAUCCAGUCCAGGAGCAGAUUCAUCUUCCUACGGAAGGAGAGGUCAGAAGAACGUUGUCAUCUUUUACUGACACAUUUCUAUUUUCUUUUCUUUCUACGAGAAAGUGUUGAACUUUAAUUUUCACUUUCUAUCUCUAUAGGUAGUCCUCCCUCAAUCGCAGGGUGUCGCAGACAGGCGGACAAAUAAAAAGUGUAGGAGUCAGUACAUGGAGAGGCUCAAUUCAAUCUAUGAUCGCUCCUAAAGUGACCAUUUAAAUGAAGAGAAAUGGACAAACCAGGUGUUUCAAUGGGAACCAAUCAGAAGGAGGACAACUGGGUCACUGAUGCCUUCGGUUGAUCUAACAUUAAUCCCAGUGCUUUCACUUUAAGACAUUUUAUUUUUAGCUUAUCUUUUAUAUUAAUGGUACUCUUUGUAUUUUAAUAUGUUCUUGUGUUU